Molecule: non-coding RNA, 29 nt
Filed under: Rattus norvegicus (Norway rat)
Lineage: Eukaryota; Metazoa; Chordata; Mammalia; Rodentia; Muridae
Source: RNAcentral
GCUCUUCUUGUAUGCCCAUCUGCGUUCCC